ACGGGAGGCGGCAGUAGGGAAUAUUGCACAAUGGGGGGAACCCUGAUGCAGCAACGCCACGUGUGGGAAGAAGCAUUUCGGUGUGUAAACCACUGUCGUGAGGGAAUAAUGCUUGAUUUCGGUCAAGUUGAAUGUACCUCGAAAGGAAGCACCGGCAAACUUCGUGCCAGCAGCCGCGGUAAUACGAGGGGUGCAAGCGUUGUUCGGAAUCACUGGGCGUAAAGGGAGCGUAGGCGGAGACGCAAGCAGUCUGUACAAGACCGGGGCCCAACCCCGGACCUGCAGACUGGACUGUGUCUCUUGGAUAGUUCAGGGGCAGGCGGAAUUCCUGGUGUAGCGGUGGAAUGCGUAGAGAUCAGGAAGAACACCGAUGGCGAAGGCAGCCUGCUGGGGACUCAUCGACGCUGAGGCUCGAAAGUGCAGGUAGCAAACAGGAUUAGAUACCCUGGUA
Molecule: ribosomal RNA, 451 nt
Filed under: uncultured Fibrobacter sp.
Lineage: Bacteria; Pseudomonadati; Fibrobacterota; Fibrobacteria; Fibrobacterales; Fibrobacteraceae
Description: bacterial SSU rRNA
Rfam family: Bacterial small subunit ribosomal RNA
Source: RNAcentral